GGUUAAGCGACUAAGCGUACACGGUGGAUGCCCUGGCAGUCAGAGGCGAUGAAGGACGUGCUAAUCUGCGAAAAGCGUCGGUAAGGUGAUAUGAACCGUUAUAGCCGGCGAUGUCCGAAUGGGGAAACCCAGUG
RNAcentral lists this ribosomal RNA (134 nucleotides) under Klebsiella pneumoniae. RNAcentral's name for it is "partial 23S ribosomal RNA". It matches the Rfam family "Bacterial large subunit ribosomal RNA", at positions 1 to 133 of the family's 2925-position model. Lineage: Bacteria; Pseudomonadati; Pseudomonadota; Gammaproteobacteria; Enterobacterales; Enterobacteriaceae. RNAcentral also lists the same sequence under 4 other names. The record is from RNAcentral.